RNAcentral lists this ribosomal RNA (521 nucleotides) under uncultured Glomeraceae. RNAcentral's name for it is "SSU rRNA". It matches the Rfam family "Eukaryotic small subunit ribosomal RNA", at positions 569 to 1092 of the family's 1831-position model. The record is from RNAcentral. Lineage: Eukaryota; Fungi; Glomeromycota; Glomeromycetes; Glomerales; Glomeraceae.
AGCAGCCGCGGUAAUUCCAGCUCCAAUAGCGUAUAUUAAAGUUGUUGCAGUUAAAAAGCUCGUAGUUGAAUUUCGGGAUCAAUACGUCGGUCGUGCUUCGGUACGUACUGGCGUCAUUGAUUUCUCCCUUCUGACGAACCAUGAUGUCAUUAACUUGGUGUCAUGGGAAAUCAGGACUGUUACUUUGAAAAAAUUAGAGUGUUUAAAGCAGGCUCACGCUUGAAUACAUUAGCAUGGAAUAAUGAAAUAGGACGUUCGAUCCUAUUUUGUUGGUUUUUAGGAUCAACGUAAUGAUUAAUAGGGAUAGUUGGGGGCAUUAGUAUUCAAUUGUCAGAGGUGAAAUUCUUGGAUUUAUUGAAGACUAACUACUGCGAAAGCAUUUGCCAAGGAUGUUUUCAUUAAUCAAGAACGAAAGUUAGGGGAUCGAAGACGAUCAGAUACCGUCGUAGUCUUAACUAUAAACUAUGCCGACUAGGGAUCGGAUGAUGUUAAUUAUUUAAUGACUCAUUCGGCGCCUUACG